CAGCAGCCACGGUAAUACAGAGGGUGCGAGCGUUAAUCGGAUUUACUGGGCGUAAAGCGUGCGUAGGCGGCUAAUUGAGUCGGAUGUGAAAUCCCUGAGCUUAACUUAGGAAUUGCAUUCGAUACUGGGAAGCUAGAGUAUGGGAGAGGAUGGUAGAAUUCCAGGUGUAGCGGUGAAAUGCGUAGAGAUCUGGAGGAAUACCGAUGGCGAAGGCAGCCAUCUGGCCUAAUACUGACGCUGAGGUACGAAAGCAUGGGGAGCAAACAGGAUUAGAGACCCCCGUAGUCCCUGUCUCUUAUAA
This 301-nucleotide ribosomal RNA is filed under the name uncultured bacterium. RNAcentral describes it as "partial 16S ribosomal RNA". It matches the Rfam family "Bacterial small subunit ribosomal RNA", at positions 509 to 809 of the family's 1533-position model. The record is from RNAcentral.